Non-coding RNA from Schizophyllum amplum, 82 nucleotides. The record is from the annotation of a GenBank genome assembly. NCBI's taxonomy places the organism in Eukaryota, Fungi, Basidiomycota, Agaricomycetes, Agaricales, Schizophyllaceae.
AUCCCGCUAGCUCAGUGGUAGAGCGUGUCACUAGUAUAUAUGCAUCAUGACAAGGUCAGUCGUUCAAGUCGGCUGUGGGGAA